Mandrillus leucophaeus (drill) is the source of this 419-nucleotide long non-coding RNA. RefSeq lists it as uncharacterized. The record is from RefSeq and is a predicted model, not a curated record. The transcript is spliced from 2 exons. NCBI's taxonomy places the organism in Eukaryota, Metazoa, Chordata, Mammalia, Primates, Cercopithecidae.
AGGACUGCCCUACAUUUGGCCUGUGCCACUGGCCAACUGGAAGUCAUAUCUCUCCUGGUGUCCAGAAGAUGUGAGCUUAACCUCUACGACCGUGAAUGCAGGACACCUCUGAUCAAGGCUGUACAACUGAGGCAGGAGGUUUGUGCAACUAUUCUGCUGAAAAAUGGUGCUGAUCCAAAUAUUAUGGGUUUCUAUGGAAGGACUGCUCUACACUAUGCUGUGUAUAAUGAAGAUACAUCCAUGAUAGAAACACUUCUUUUACAUGGUACAGAUAUUGAAGAAUGCAGCAAGGUAUAGAUCAACCAACAUUAUUUUCAAACUAUCUGAAAUACAUUUAUUUUAACGUUGACACAUGUAAGAGUCAAUUUUUCAUAUUUGGAAGCUCAAACAUUCCUUGAAUGAAAAUACUUUGAAAUGCC